UUUUGUUAUUUUUAUCGAUUUAUCAGUUACUACGAACAUUCAUGCUCUGCAAGUAUGGACGACUGGAACAACGGGAGAGCUCACCCCGGCUGUGAAGAUUGAUGGACGUGAAGUUGGCGAUGGACAAGUGGGACCUGUGACUCGAAGGUUGCAAAAUGCUUACAAAAAGCUUACAGAAGAGUCAGGAGUGCCCAUACCAUCCUGUCAGGAGAAUUAAAUAAUAUAUAUAGCUUCUACAAGACUGUAGACAUUGUGCAAGGGGGGUUGCUUUCAUUCCCACAGAAAGAAGAUUGUGCAGUUGCGUUUCGAUCGCCAGCAUCACAGUUAAAGCACUGCAGAUUUCAGAUGCUUGUGGAGAUGAUACCAUAAUCUUGGCAUUUCUCUGCAUGUUAACACAGAAGCUAAAAUUGUUAAUGUGUUUAGCAACACAGGACUUUUAAGUAAUUCCCUACAUCUUAAACUUCAGUAGGGAUGUGUCUACUUAGCCAAUAAAAUAAAUCUCAGACUGUUAAAUAGUUUGAACGUGAUUGUAGCAUUUACUUCAAGCAAUGCUAUAAUAUAUAUUUGUGCGUUGGUUCA
Molecule: long non-coding RNA, 579 nt
Organism: Populus nigra (black poplar)
Lineage: Eukaryota; Viridiplantae; Streptophyta; Magnoliopsida; Malpighiales; Salicaceae
Exons: 3
Source: RefSeq, a predicted model, not a curated record